Molecule: transfer RNA, 73 nt
Filed under: Verrucomicrobiota bacterium
Lineage: Bacteria; Pseudomonadati; Verrucomicrobiota
Description: Verrucomicrobia bacterium (freshwater metagenome) tRNA-Leu
Rfam family: tRNA
About the family: Transfer RNA (tRNA) molecules are approximately 80 nucleotides in length. Their secondary structure includes four short double-helical elements and three loops (D, anti-codon, and T loops).
Source: RNAcentral
GUCCGAGUGACGGAAUGGCAUACGUGCCAGCCUUAGAAGCUGGAUCCUGUGGGUUCAAGUCCCACCUCGGACA